This 292-nucleotide ribosomal RNA is filed under the name uncultured soil bacterium. Its description in RNAcentral is "partial 16S ribosomal RNA". It matches the Rfam family "Bacterial small subunit ribosomal RNA", at positions 26 to 307 of the family's 1533-position model. The record is from RNAcentral.
AGAAUCAACGCUGGCGGCGUGCCUAACACAUGCAAGUCGAACGCGAAAGGGGAGCAAUCCCUGAGUAGAGUGGCAAACGGGUGAGUAAUACGUGGGUGACCUGCCUCAGAGUGGGGGAUAACGUCCCGAAAGGGACGCUAAUACCGCAUAACAUCCUGCCCCUAGAAGGGUGGAGAUCAAAGCCGGGGAUCGCAAGACCUGGCGCUUGGAGAGGGGCCCGCGUCUGAUUAGCUAGUUGGUAGGUAAUGGCCUACCAAGGCUACGAUCAGUAUCCGGCUGAGAGGGCGGACGG